This is an RNA transcript of Balaenoptera musculus (blue whale), 4416 nucleotides long. It is a transcript of the gene named prostaglandin E receptor 3, with no coding region annotated. The record is from RefSeq and is a predicted model, not a curated record. The transcript has 5 exons. Lineage: Eukaryota; Metazoa; Chordata; Mammalia; Artiodactyla; Balaenopteridae.
CCGCCUUGGCAACUUGGCUGAGGUGGGGUAGACCCGGGAGACACUGUAGCCCCCGCCGCCCACGGACGCUCCUCUGGCAGAGAACCGGAGGAGGCGCGGAGCCGGGCACGGCGGCCUGGCUGGGCGUCCGCUCCGGCCAGGAAGGAGUUGGAACAUUUCGAGAGGAGUCCUCCGGGGGGUUUGCCGAGCCCAGGCGGCCAAGGCAUUGGUCGCGCAGCAGCCGAGAGAGGCGCUCAGUUUCUGCCGCACCCCCUCCCACAGCACUUUGGCCGACACCCACGGGCGCCCCGCCCCCCUCGGGCUUAUAGAACCGGCCGGGCACCUCCGCACGCCUGGGAGCCGGACGCUUCCCUGAGCCGACGGCGCGGCUGCCUGUGUCGCCUGAAAGCCCCGCCGCCGCCGCCGAAGUGGCGAAGUGAGGCGGCGGCCGAGCCCCGCAUCAUGGAGGGCAGCUCCGCCGCGGCCCCAGCCCCAGCCCCGGUCGCCACCGACAGCCGCCGCCUCCCGCGUCCGGUCUGCCGGCUCUCGUCGCUGCUCUCAGGGCUCCGUUCCUUCCUCACCUCGAAGACAGUAUGAAGGAGACCCGGGGCCACGCGAGUGCCCCUUUCUGCACGCGCCUCAACCACUCCUACCCCGGCAUCUGGGCGCCCGAGCGCUCCGCUGAGGCGCGGAGCAACCUCACGCGUCCCGCGGGGCCCGGCGAGGAUUGCGGCUCGGUGUCCGUAGCCUUCCCGAUGACCAUGCUGAUCACUGGCUUCGUGGGCAACGCGUUGGCCAUGCUGCUCGUGUCGCAGAGCUACCGGCGCCGGGAGAGCAAGCGCAAGAAGUCGUUCCUGCUAUGCAUCGGCUGGCUGGCGCUCACCGACCUGGUCGGGCAGCUGCUCACCAGCCCGGUGGUCAUCGUCCUGUACCUGUCCCACCAGCGCUGGGAGCAGCUCGACCCGUCGGGGAGGCUGUGCACCUUCUUCGGACUGACCAUGACCGUCUUCGGGCUCUCCUCGCUCUUCAUCGCCAGCGCCAUGGCCGUCGAGCGGGCGCUGGCCACCCGGGCGCCGCACUGGUACUCGAGCCACAUGAAGACGAGCGCCACCCGCGCCGUGCUGCUCGGCGUGUGGCUGGCGGUGCUCGCCUUCGCCCUGUUGCCGGUGCUGGGCGUGGGUCAGUACACCAUCCAGUGGCCCGGGACGUGGUGCUUCAUUAGCACCGGGGCAGGGGGCAACGGGACUAGCCCUUCGCACAACUGGGGCAACAUUUUCUUCGCUUCCUCCUUUGCUUUCCUGGGGCUGUCAGCGCUGGCCGUCACCUUCGCCUGCAACUUGGCCACCAUUAAGGCCCUAGUGUCCCGCUGCCGGGCCAAGGCCACGGCGUCUCAGUCCAGCGCCCAGUGGGGCCGGAUCACGACCGAGACGGCUAUCCAGCUCAUGGGGAUCAUGUGCGUGCUGUCGGUCUGCUGGUCGCCGUUGCUGAUAAUGAUGUUGAAAAUGAUCUUCAAUCAUACAUCAGUUGAGCACUGCAAGACGUACACAGAAAAGCAGAAAGAGUGCAGCUUCUUCUUAAUAGCUGUUCGCCUGGCUUCACUGAACCAGAUCUUGGAUCCCUGGGUUUAUCUGCUGCUAAGAAAGAUCCUUCUUCAAAAGUUUUGCCAGGCACUGUGAUAUGUGGGCAUGAUGCAGAAACAAAAUAGGUGUGAACCCUGCUUCCAUGGAACUUACAAUCAGGAGAUACUGAUACUUCUAAGUGACUUUGGCUAUGUCCGAACAACCCCAAUUCUAGCCAAAUGGAAGGAAGAAUGUUGCAGCCCACUCACAAAUGAUGUUCCCAAAGUGGGAGGCAAAGUAUCAGGCACCACACAAACAACUAUGCCUCCAGCUCCACCUCUUUACCCCACCAGUGCUCCUCAACCUUGAUGUGGAGUGACCACUUGGAAAGAUAAUGAAAGAACGGAGGUGGACUUUUUAUUGCAAUUCCUGCUUCCCUGAGUUUGUGUAUUUCUUCCUACCUGAGAAGGAGAAUUUUAUAUUUUGAUUUGGAUUGUUUCUUCUUUUUCAUCUUUUUAAAAAUUUUAAUGUUUUUUCUUGUCAGUAAUAUCCACUGAGACCAAGUUUAUUACUGCAAUACGUGUCUUUGAGUAUUAAAAAUUGGUUUCUGGGACUGGAUUUUGAGUAUAUAUUUAAGAAGCUGGGCACGAUUGCACAGAUGGUGACUGGUGAAAAAAUGAGAAAAAGAAAACCCCAUCCUUCAGGAGUUUUCCCCCAGCUUCAAACCCUUAUGUGAAUCUCAACUGAUGUGGAUAUCUUUACAUUUUAUCGUAGUUUUGAUUUUACAAUAUGAGUUUGAAAAAUCAGUAAAAGUUUUUGUCAGUGAAAAGUCAACUUACUGAGAGCAAGAAUUCAAUUAAUAAGACAUAAACUUCACGAGAUAGAAAAGGAUGCCAAAUGAAGGCAGGAGGGUACCAUGACCAAAGAUAUUUAUGCAAAAUGUGUGAUUAAUGUUUUGGAGAUGUGUUCUUCUGGGCUAAGCUGGGAACUAAAAGCCCUUAAGUCUGUAUUCUUGUUAUGUGUCAUUUAGUAACUCAGGAAUCAGCAUAAUUGUUAUUUCUCUGUCUUUGAAGACUGAAAGGUGUGAUGCAACGAAGGGCUGUCUUGAUAUGUCAUAGAAAAUAAUAAUGAAGCUAAGGGAUGAAUUGUUGAGUUGGAGCAUUAAAAAAUCCAGGUGCAGUCUCCGAUCCACCACUAUCAAUUCAGCAUUUCUUACAAUUUCUUCUUGGGUGGCAUACAAAAGACAAAAUUAAUAAAUGACAUAGUUAUCAACUAUCAAGUUUUGUUACUUUUUUAUGAAAUAAAAGUGUCUAGUUUGUCUGAAAUAAGAAAUUCUGUGAACUUUAAAAAAAUACUUUGAGUCAUCUACUAUCUCUCAGCUAAUGUGCCCUUACCUGCUCAUAAAUUCAACCAACAUUUCUUUCUCUUGUCUUUCUUUCCCACUCCCUUCCUCCUUCUUUUCCCUCGCCCCAUUCACUUAAUUCAACACAUAUUUAUUGAGUGUCCCUUCUUUAGGCACCUAAGGGCCAUGCUGUCACAUACAAGGAUAUCUUGGAAAGAGAUGAUAAUAUGGUAUCAGUAGUUUUGCAAUAGGAGCCUAUACUGUGACUCCAUUGUCAUUUCUGUCAAUGUGAUGAAACCAAAAUAGUUGAAUCAUUCUUUUUGGCUAGUUGAACCAGUGUGAAUUAGCUGCAAACUACAAUUAUUUUCAUUAAAUAUGUAUUGAAAUUCAAGCAUUAUGUAACUGGCACAAAACAUGCUGUACACAAUCCCUUUAUUCAGGUUUAAAUUCAACAUAUUUUAUUGAGCAAGUAGAAUUUGCAGACCAUCAUAGGAAUAUCCACACUCCUGUUACCUCUCUAUCUGUCCAUCAUCCAGCUAUGUGGUUGUCUAGCUGUCAUCUAUUUACUGUUUUAUUUUUACAAAAGAGGGUAAGGUUUACAGAGGGUUUGCCCAAUGUCACUUAGCUAACAUAAGUAGGAAUUCAGAUCCAAGUUUAAGUUUUUUGAUUCCAGGUUUACUGUUCUCCCUACAGCACAGUGGGAUGUGAGACUUAUUACAAUGAUAUGCCAUUUAUAAGACAAUGUGAUCUAGUAAUAAAAGCAUGGGUUUUGGAAUCAAACUUGGAUUUAAAUCUGGCUGUGCCACUCAUUAGCUCUGUGAACUUGAGAAAGUUAAUUAAUUUCAUUUAGUCUCAAUGAAAUAAUCUGUAAACUAAAGACAGUAAUACUUACCUGUGGGGUUAUUGUGAUAAGGUACGUCAAGUGAGUGUAACACAAUAGGUACUCAAUAAGUAUUAACUGUGAUUAAUUCUUUAUCUAGACUUACCUCCAACUGUAUAAUAGGAGCUCUCACUUUCAACUAUAAACUGGCUUCCUGACUGUGUGGGUUGAAAUGUCAUGGACAGAAUCAACAUUAUGUAACAACAAAUCCCUGGAUGCUAUUCUUCUUGAUUCUAAUACCUCAUGGUUACUUUUGCCCACACAAAACCUACUCAUCUCCCACAUGUUCGAAUCUCACCUUGUCCUUAGACCUUGGACAAUUUAAGUACAGAAACCCCUCCUUAUCUGCAGUUUCAGUUACCAGUGGUCAAGCACAGAUGGAAAAUAUUAAGUGGAAAAUUCCAGAAAAAAACAAUUCAUAAGUGUUAAAUUGCAUGUCAUUCUGAGUAGCAUGAUGAAAUCUCCUAGGGUUCUUCUCUGUCUUACCUGGGACGUGAAUCAUCACUUUGUCCCCCGUAUCCCACUCAUUAGUCACAUGGUAGCCCACUCAGUUAUCAGAUCCACUGUUGAGGUUUUGCAGUGCCUGGGUUCAAGCACUUAAUAUGCUUUUUACUUAAUAAUGGCCCCAGGGAAUUCCCUGGUGCUCCAGUGGCUAG